CACGUCAGCGCGCUUUGCUGAUAUGGCAACAAAUUGCCCCCUCUAGGAUGCGAUUUGUUGCCACAUUAGCAAAGCACACUGACGUGG
Gossypium hirsutum (cotton) is the source of this 87-nucleotide non-coding RNA. NCBI's taxonomy places the organism in Eukaryota, Viridiplantae, Streptophyta, Magnoliopsida, Malvales, Malvaceae. The record is from Rfam.